Molecule: small nuclear RNA, 104 nt
Organism: Perognathus longimembris pacificus (Pacific pocket mouse)
Lineage: Eukaryota; Metazoa; Chordata; Mammalia; Rodentia; Heteromyidae
Source: RefSeq, a predicted model, not a curated record
UGCUUCAGCAGAAUACAGAGCACGAACAAUACAGAACAAUACAGAGUUUACCAUGGCCCCUGCCAAAGGAUGACAUGCUGAUUCAUGAAGUGGCCCAUAUUUUU